This 250-nucleotide ribosomal RNA is filed under the name uncultured bacterium. Its description in RNAcentral is "partial 16S ribosomal RNA". It matches the Rfam family "Bacterial small subunit ribosomal RNA", at positions 524 to 773 of the family's 1533-position model. The record is from RNAcentral.
GACGAAGGAUGCAAGCGUUAUCCGGAUUCAUUGGGUUUAAAGGGAGCGUAGGCGGACUUGUAAGUCAGUGGUGAAAUCUGUGGGCUUAACCCACAAACUGCCAUUGAUACUGCAGGUCUAGAGUACAGUUGCCGUUGGCGGAAUAUGACAUGUAGUGGUGAAAUACUUAGAUAUGUCAUAGAACACCGAUUGCGAAGGCAGCUAACGAAGCUGUAACUGACGCUGAGGCUCGAAAGUGCGGGGAUCAAAC